CUCCCAGGCGUCGAGCGGCGGACGGGUGAGUAACGCGUAGGAAUCUACCCAGUAGCGGGGGAUAGCCCGGGGAAACCCGGAUUAAUACCGCAUACGCCCCACGGGGGAAAGGCCGGGAUCUUCGGACCGGUCACUAUUGGAGGAGCCUGCGUUGGAUUAGCUAGUUGGUAGGGUAAAGGCCUACCAAGGCGACGAUCCAUAGCUGUUCUGAGAGGAAGAUCAGCCACACUGGAACUGAGACACGGUCCAG
Molecule: ribosomal RNA, 250 nt
Filed under: uncultured bacterium
Lineage: Bacteria
Description: partial 16S ribosomal RNA
Rfam family: Bacterial small subunit ribosomal RNA
Source: RNAcentral